RNAcentral lists this long non-coding RNA (1103 nucleotides) under Felis catus (domestic cat). Its description in RNAcentral is "lncRNA (ENSFCAG00000049129.1)". The record is from RNAcentral. Lineage: Eukaryota; Metazoa; Chordata; Mammalia; Carnivora; Felidae.
CCGUAUGCUGUUGACUCACUGUCUGACCACGGGCCUGGCGUUUCACUCAACUGCUUCUCUUUUUUGGGAAACUAGGAGAAUGACAUUCGCCAUUCACCUCGCCAUUCGCCAUUUACCUCGCCAUUCGCCAUUUACCUCGCCGGGAUGCUAUAGAGUGCCCUGGCCAGGAGGCUAGAUUCAGAUGACAGGACUGAUAUAUUCGAACCGUUUUUCUCCGUCAUUUCGAGCAAAGAUAGCUGAGAUUGGGCCAAUUUAUUUGCCCCAGUACUAACUUCAGGAAGCCCAUGCCACUGGACUCCUGUUUUUCAAGAGCAAGCUUUCAAAGAAACAGAUGAACCUGCCUUUAUAAAAUUGAGAUAUUUGAAGCAAAUAUUAAAGUUUUUCUCCUCCGAAUGCAACACAGAUAAGAGACGGUGAAAGAAUCUUGUCAAAUGAAGCAUCAGAACAAUUGGACUAAAGAUGAAAAGUUCUCUUCCCGUAAUAUUUCGCUAAGUGGGCUAAAUGUUACUUAUUUAGUGUGAAGAGGAAAACGGCCCCCUUGUCCCUUUAUUAUCUCUCAGGCCUCCACUAUACUGAAUUGGACUCUUUGAGCCUAGAAAAACUAGUUUGCACUCUACAAUGGAGAAUCCGGCCUGUGAGUGGAUAUUUAUGAUAUGCUGAAACAGCUGAAGAAGUGUUCAGUUCAAAGCUUCAGAGGGAGGAAACAGAAACAGGAGAAACAGGAGACAAGAGAGCUCUUGGCUACAGGACUGCAAACGACACCCUAAAACGUGGAGCUGCAAACCUUGGUGAUUUAAAUGCAGGCUGCCAGGCAAAUUGCAGUGACAUAAAUUUGGCCCAUGUGUUUUGCAUCGUGUGAAUAUGAAACAGGGGAAGCCAUGGAGCCGAGUUUUGUUGGCAUUGGACUCAGGAGGUUUGGUGGGCUCUUUUCAGACAUGCUGCCCACAGCAAGGUCACAUCUCAAAUAUGAACGUCACCCAGAGGUUACCCAGGUGAUCCUAGGCCAUCCUGAGCAUGCAGCUGUGCAGGGCUUGACCUUGAAGGACAGAUGGCAUCAGGGGGAAUUCUUUUAUACCUUGUAUUGGCCAGGGCUCAGCUUCUGA